CCUACGGGUGGCAGCAGUAGGGAAUCUUGCACAAUGGGGGAAACCCUGAUGCAGCGACGCCGCGUGAGUGAAGAAGGAUUUCGGUAUGUAAAGCUCUAUCAGCAGGGAAGAGAAUAACGGUACCUGAGUAAGAAGCCCCGGCUAACUACGUGCCAGCAGCCGCGGUAAUACGUAGGGGGCAAGCGUUAGCCGGAUUUACUGGGUGGAAAGGGAGCGUAGACGGCGAAGAAAGUCUGAAGUGAAAGCCCGCGGCUCAACCGCGGGACUGCUUUGGACACUUGUUUGCUGGAGUACCGGAGAGGUAAGUGGAAUUCCUAGUGUAGCGGUGAAAUGCGUAGAGAUUAGGAGGAACACCAGUGGCGAAGGCGGCUUACUGGACGGUAACUGACGUUGAGGUUCGAAAGCGUGGGGAGCAAACAGGAUUAGAUACCCGUGUAGUC
This 440-nucleotide ribosomal RNA is filed under the name uncultured bacterium. RNAcentral describes it as "partial 16S ribosomal RNA". It matches the Rfam family "Bacterial small subunit ribosomal RNA", at positions 338 to 795 of the family's 1533-position model. The record is from RNAcentral.